CCGGCACAGUGUGAGGCCUUUAGGCAGAAGCAGAGUGAGACUGAGGCUGGCUCUUGGGCAACUCACAUUCUGCAGGGGAAGCCAGGUCAGGGAGGAGGCAGAGGGACGGGAGCAGGUGCAGCAAGAAGAGCCAAGGACGCAUCGCAUCGGAGGUUCCCGGAGAGGCCGCUCCCUGGGUGCGGGGGAGGGGCUUUGAGUAGAGCAAGUUGAAGGUGGACGGUGCGACCCACAGAAGUAAGGAGCUGGCCGCCGGCUGGGGAGGGGCAGAGGAUGCACCCACAGGGGCGUCAGGGCCAGGUCAGGAGAGCCUCCUGGGGCAAGAUGGGAAGACUCGAUUUCCCAGGGGCUUUUAAUGCAGAUGAGUGGCGAGUUUCUGCUGGCAGCCUGGCUGCAGGUGCGGGGUUGGGCAUCUCAUCUCCUCUGUGCCCACUGGUGUCAGGAGACCGCAUGCAGGCUCCAAGUGCUCUCUGCACUGUGAGUAUGACGUAUCUGCUAAAUGCCUGCAACCUGCACUCUAUCCCUUUCUCCAAUGUAAUUACCUUACCUCCCUGAAUUCAGAGAAAUGUUAUCUGCAUCCCAGCAAUGAAGUGGACCAGCACACAGUUUAGGAAACCUUUGACUUUCAAUGAAAUAGUAGGCAUAGUGCUGCACGCCUGUAAUCCCAGCACUCAAAGAGGCUGAGGCAGGAGGAUCACUGUGGGUUCAAGGCCAGCCUGAACUGCAUAGCAUGACCCAGUCUCAAAAAAGAAAAAAAUUAAAAAAUAAAGACCCAACAAGUACAUGAACUAAGAAGUGAUUGAUAUACUUUUUCAAUAAG
Molecule: long non-coding RNA, 817 nt
Filed under: Cavia porcellus (domestic guinea pig)
Lineage: Eukaryota; Metazoa; Chordata; Mammalia; Rodentia; Caviidae
Description: lncRNA (ENSCPOG00000036796.1)
Source: RNAcentral